AUGCAAGUCGAGCGGACAGAUGGGAGCUUGCUCCCUGAUGUUAGCGGCGGACGGGUGAGUAACACGUGGGUAACCUGCCUGUAAGACUGGGAUAACUCCGGGAAACCGGGGCUAAUACCGGAUGCUUGUUUGAACCGCAUGGUUCAAACAUAAAAGGUGGCUUCGGCUACCACUUACAGAUGGACCCGCGGCGCAUUAGCUAGUUGGUGAGGUAAUGGCUCACCAAGGCAACGAUGCGUAGCCGACCUGAGAGGGUGAUCGGCCACACUGGGACUGAGACACGGCCCAGACUCCUACGGGAGGCAGCAGUAGGGAAUCUUCCGCAAUGGACGAAAGUCUGACGGAGCAACGCCGCGUGAGUGAUGAAGGUUUUCGGAUCGUAAAGCUCUGUUGUUAGGGAAGAACAAGUGCCGUUCGAAUAGGGCGGCACCUUGACGGUACCUAACCAGAAAGCCACGGCUAACUACGUGCCAGCAGCCGCGGUAAUACGUAGGUGGCAAGCGUUGUCCGGAAUUAUUGGGCGUAAAGGGCUCGCAGGCGGUUUCUUAAGUCUGAUGUGAAAGCCCCCGGCUCAACCGGGGAGGGUCAUUGGAAACUGGGGAACUUGAGUGCAGAAGAGGAGAGUGGAAUUCCACGUGUAGCGGUGAAAUGCGUAGAGAUGUGGAGGAACACCAGUGGCGAAGGCGACUCUCUGGUCUGUAACUGACGCUGAGGAGCGAAAGCGUGGGGAGCGAACAGGAUUAGAUACCCUGGUAGUCCACGCCGUAAACGAUGAGUGCU
RNAcentral lists this ribosomal RNA (780 nucleotides) under Bacillus atrophaeus. Its description in RNAcentral is "bacterial SSU rRNA". It matches the Rfam family "Bacterial small subunit ribosomal RNA", at positions 55 to 817 of the family's 1533-position model. The record is from RNAcentral. Lineage: Bacteria; Bacillati; Bacillota; Bacilli; Caryophanales; Bacillaceae.